Molecule: ribosomal RNA, 468 nt
Filed under: uncultured bacterium
Lineage: Bacteria
Description: partial 16S ribosomal RNA
Rfam family: Bacterial small subunit ribosomal RNA
Source: RNAcentral
GACGAACGCUGGCGGCGUGCUUAACACAUGCAAGUCGAACGGACAGGCCCUGCUCUUGUGGCGUGCUCGAGUGGCGAACGCGUGAGUAACACGUGAGUAUCCUGCCCCUGACUUUGGGAUAACUUCAGGAAACUGGGGCUAAUACCGGAUAGGAGCUCCUGCUGCAUGGUGGGGGUUGGUAAGUUUCGGCGGUUGGGGCUAGUCUCGCGGCUUAUCAGCUUGUUGGUGGGGUAGUGGAUUACCAAGGCUUUGACGGAUAGCCGGCCUGAGAGGGUGGCCGGCCACAUGGGGACUGAGAGAGGGACCAGACUCCUACGGGAGGCAGCAGUGGGGAAUAUUGCACAAUGGGCGGAAGCCUGAUGCAGCAACGCCGCGUGCGGGAUGACGUCCUUCGGGUUGUAAACCGCUUUCGCCGGUGACGAAGCGUGAGUGACGGUAAUGGGUAAAGAAGCACCGGCUAACUACGUG